AACGAACGCUGGCGGCAGGCUUAACACAUGCAAGUCGAACGGGUGUAGCAAUACAUCAGUGGCAGACGGGUGAGUAACACGUGGGAACCUUCCUAGAGGUACGGAACAACUCAGGGAAACUUGAGCUAAUACCGUAUACGCUCUUGCGAGGAAAGAUUUAUCGCCUUUAGACGGGCCCGCGUCGGAUUAGCUAGUUGGUGGGGUAACGGCCUACCAAGGCGACGAUCCGUAGCUGAUCUGAGAGGAUGAUCAGCCACACUGGGACUGAGACACGGCCCAGACUCCUACGGGAGGCAGCAGUGGGGAAUCUUGGACAAUGGGCGCAAGCCUGAUCCAGCCAUGCCGCGUGAGUGAAGAAGGCCUCGGUUG
RNAcentral lists this ribosomal RNA (369 nucleotides) under uncultured bacterium. RNAcentral describes it as "bacterial SSU rRNA". It matches the Rfam family "Bacterial small subunit ribosomal RNA", at positions 29 to 425 of the family's 1533-position model. The record is from RNAcentral.